CACAUGCAAGUCGAACGAGCAAGAGAGAGCUUGCUUUCUCGAGCGAGUGGCGAACGGGUGAGUAACGCGUGAGGAACCUGCCUCAAAGAGGGGGACAACAGUUGGAAACGACUGCUAAUACCGCAUAAGCCCACGGUGCCGCAUGGCACAGAGGGAAAAGGAGCAAUCCGCUUUGAGAUGGCCUCGCGUCCGAUUAGCUAGUUGGUGAGGUAACGGCCCACCAAGGCAACGAUCGGUAGCCGGACUGAGAGGUUGAACGGCCACAUUGGGACUGAGACACGGCCCAGACUCCUACGGGAGGCAGCAGUGGGGAAUAUUGCACAAUGGGGGAAACCCUGAUGCAGCGACGCCGCGUGGAGGAAGAAGGUCUUCGGAUUGUAAACUCCUGUUGUUGGGGAAGAUAAUGACGGUACCCAACAAGGAAGUGACGGCUAACUACGUGCCAGCAGCCGCGGUAAAACGUAGGUCACAAGCGUUGUCCGGAAUUACUGGGUGUAAAGGGAGCGCAGGCGGGAAGACAAGUUGGAAGUGAAAUCUAUGGGCUCAACCCAUAAACUGCUUUCAAAACUGUUUUUCUUGAGUAGUGCAGAGGUAGGCGGAAUUCCCGGUGUAGCGGUGGAAUGCGUAGAUAUCGGGAGGAACACCAGUGGCGAAGGCGGCCUACUGGGCACCAACUGACGCUGAGGCUCGAAAGUGUGGGUAGCAAACAGGAUUAGAUACCCUGGUAGUCCACACCGUAAACGAUGAUUACUAGGUGUUGGAGGAUUGACCCCUUCAGUGCCGCAGUUAACACAAUAAGUAAUCCACCUGGGGAGUACGACCGCAAGGUUGAAACUCAAAGGAAUUGACGGGGGCCCGCACAAGCAGUGGAGUAUGUGGUU
Molecule: ribosomal RNA, 881 nt
Filed under: uncultured bacterium
Lineage: Bacteria
Description: bacterial SSU rRNA
Rfam family: Bacterial small subunit ribosomal RNA
Source: RNAcentral